ACGGGAGCUUGCUCCCUUAGGUCAGCGGCGGACGGGUGAGUAACACGUGGGUAACCUGCCUGUAAGACUGGGAUAACUCCGGGAAACCGGGGCUAAUACCGGAUGCUUGAUUGAACCGCAUGGUUCAAUCAUAAAAGGUGGCUUUUAGCUACCACUUACAGAUGGACCCGCGGCGCAUUAGCUAGUUGGUGAGGUAACGGCUCACCAAGGCGACGAUGCGUAGCCGACCUGAGAGGGUGAUCGGCCACACUGGGACUGAGACACGGCCCAGACUCCUACGGGAGGCAGCAGUAGGGAAUCUUCCGCAAUGGACGAAAGUCUGACGGAGCAACGCCGCGUGAGUGAUGAAGGUUUUCGGAUCGUAAAACUCUGUUGUUAGGGAAGAACAAGUACCGUUCGAAUAGGGCGGCACCUUGACGGUACCUAACCAGAAAGCCACGGCUAACUACGUGCCAGCAGCCGCGGUAAUACGUAGGUGGCAAGCGCUGUCCGGAAUUAUUGGGCGUAAAGCGCGCGCAGGCGGUUUCUUAAGUCUGAUGUGAAAGCCCCCGGCUCAACCGGGGAGGGUCAUUGGAAACUGGGGAACUUGAGUGCAGAAGAGGAGAGUGGAUUCCACGUGUAGCG
This 624-nucleotide ribosomal RNA is filed under the name uncultured Bacilli bacterium. RNAcentral's name for it is "bacterial SSU rRNA". It matches the Rfam family "Bacterial small subunit ribosomal RNA", at positions 72 to 680 of the family's 1533-position model. The record is from RNAcentral. Lineage: Bacteria; Bacillati; Bacillota; Bacilli.